UACAGAGGGUGCUAGCGUUAAUCGGAAUUACUGGGCGUAAAGCGCAUGUAGGCGGACAUUUAAGUCAGGUGUGAAAGCCCCGGGCUCAACCUGGGAAUUGCAUUCGAUACUGAAUGUCUAGAGUAUGAUAGAGGAGAGUGGAACUUCCGGUGUAGCGGUGAAAUGCGUAGAUAUCGGAAAGAACACCAGUGGCGAAGGCGGCUCUCUGGAUCAAUACUGACGCUAAAGUGCGAAAGCGUGGGGAGCAAACAGG
RNAcentral lists this ribosomal RNA (253 nucleotides) under uncultured bacterium. Its description in RNAcentral is "partial 16S ribosomal RNA". It matches the Rfam family "Bacterial small subunit ribosomal RNA", at positions 524 to 776 of the family's 1533-position model. The record is from RNAcentral.